This is a small nuclear RNA of Galleria mellonella (greater wax moth), 158 nucleotides long. RefSeq annotates it as U1 spliceosomal RNA. The record is from RefSeq and is a predicted model, not a curated record. NCBI's taxonomy places the organism in Eukaryota, Metazoa, Arthropoda, Insecta, Lepidoptera, Pyralidae. The transcript has a single exon.
AUAUAUACCUGGGGUAGACGAGGCUGUAAUCAAUAAGGCAGCUUCUCCAAGGUGAGACCCUUCCGUUGCGAAUGGGUUGACCCUUGCGAUUACCCCUAAUGUGGGUAAAUCGGACGCCUAAUUUUUGGUAGUGAGAACUGCGUACACGCUGUUCUCAU